This 28-nucleotide transfer RNA is filed under the name Pleuropterus multiflorus (tuber fleeceflower). Its description in RNAcentral is "Fallopia multiflora partial tRNA-Leu". RNAcentral also lists the same sequence under 5 other names. Lineage: Eukaryota; Viridiplantae; Streptophyta; Magnoliopsida; Caryophyllales; Polygonaceae. The record is from RNAcentral.
UAAGUGAGAACUUUCAAAAAUCCGUCGA